GUAACAGAAGAUGCAGUGUCUGCCCUCAAGGAGAUUGGUCUCCUAAAAAAGGCUUUAACAUUAAAAAAAUAGUUUAUUAAUGCCUUUCCCCCUUCAUUCUUCCAUUAAUAAACCUUCCUUUGUAGGGAAGAGAAAUAGUUAAACAAAAAGCCAACCUAGUAAACUCACUUAACAGUUUGGAGUCGAUCCUCCAAUCCUAUUUCCUUCCUUCUCUAACAAGAAAAAGGAAGUAUGUUACAACAUCUGUUUUUCAGGGCUGAUAUACAUUAUGAUUAAUUUAGAGUUCAUUUACCUUAAAUCUGGGACUAUAGGGGGCAGCUGGGGAGCUCAGUGAAUGGAGAGCCAGACCUAGAGACAGGAGGUCCUGGAUUCAAAUCUUGCCUGUGACACUUUCUGGCUGUGUGAACCUAGGAAUCACAUCUGUCCAUUGUUUCAGGACCAGAGAAGACUUGAACCAUUUGAUCUAGAGGCAGGAGGGGCCCACAAUUGCCAGGAAAUGGACCUCACAUUUUAUUCUAUGGUUAUGUAAAAUCAUGCCCCUUACAAGAGAUGUUUGGAUCUUCCAGGAGGUAAUACCGAAAACAAGAGGGAAGACAUUAAGGAAGAGAGAAAGAGAAGAAAAGAGAGAGAGAGAUGCUCUGGCCUCCUCUGAGCCAGGCAGGAGUUCAGAGACCCAAGACAAGGGGAAAAAAGUGACAAGAUGAUGGGCCUCUCCAGAGGCUGGUGCCUUCAGAAAAGACAAGGGAAAGGGGAUCAGCCUUUACAUUCACCAUGCAUCAGUUCAAAGGAACAGGUCACCAGGAAAAACAGGUCCAGUCAGCACUCUUCUGAAUGAAGAAUUAUUCUCCACUCCAGUAA
This is a non-coding RNA of Monodelphis domestica (gray short-tailed opossum), 858 nucleotides long. Lineage: Eukaryota; Metazoa; Chordata; Mammalia; Didelphimorphia; Didelphidae. The record is from RefSeq and is a predicted model, not a curated record.